RNAcentral lists this ribosomal RNA (695 nucleotides) under uncultured bacterium. Its description in RNAcentral is "bacterial SSU rRNA". It matches the Rfam family "Bacterial small subunit ribosomal RNA", at positions 111 to 823 of the family's 1533-position model. The record is from RNAcentral.
UAACACGUGAGCAACCUGCCUUUCAGAGGGGGAUAACGUUUGGAAACGAACGCUAAUACCGCAUGACAUAUCGGUACCGCAUGGCACUGAUAUCAAAGGAGCAAUCCGCUGAAAGAUGGGCUCGCGUCCGAUUAGCUAGAUGGCGGGGUAACGGCCCACCAUGGCGACGAUCGGUAGCCGGACUGAGAGGUUGAUCGGCCACAUUGGGACUGAGACACGGCCCAGACUCCUACGGGAGGCAGCAGUGGGGGAUAUCGCACAAUGGGGGAAACCCUGAUGCAGCGACGCCGCGUGAGGGAAGAAGGUUUUCGGAUUGUAAACCUCUGUCCUCAGUGACGAUAAUGACGGUAGCUGAGGAGGAGGCCACGGCUAACUACGUGCCAGCAGCCGCGGUAAUACGUAGGUGGCAAGCGUUGUCCGGAAUUACUGGGUGUAAAGGGAGCGUAGGCGGGAAUACAAGUUGGAUGUCUAAUCUACCGGCUUAACCGGUAUUCGCAUUCAAAACUGUAUUUCUUGAGUGAAGUAGAGGCAGGCGGAAUUCCUAGUGUAGCGGUGAAAUGCGUAGAUAUUAGGAGGAACACCAGUGGCGAAGGCGGCCUGCUGGGCUUUAACUGACGCUGAGGCUCGAAAGCGUGGGUAGCAAACAGGAUUAGAUACCCUGGUAGUCCACGCUGUAAACGAUGAUUACUAGGUGU